Molecule: ribosomal RNA, 188 nt
Filed under: uncultured bacterium
Lineage: Bacteria
Description: partial 16S ribosomal RNA
Rfam family: Bacterial small subunit ribosomal RNA
Source: RNAcentral
GGCGAAAGCCUGACCCAGCGACGCCGCGUGAGGGAUGAAGGUCUUCGGAUUGUAAACCUCUUUCAGUAGGGAAGAAGCGAAAGUGAUGGUACCUAAAGAAGAAGCACCGGCUAACUAUGUGCCAGCAGCCGCGGUAAUAUAUAGGGUGCAAGCGUUGUCCGGAAUUAUUGGGCGUAAAGAGCUCGUAG